This 628-nucleotide long non-coding RNA is filed under the name Setaria italica (foxtail millet). Its description in RNAcentral is "long non-coding RNA (SITA_LNC001020)". The record is from RNAcentral. Lineage: Eukaryota; Viridiplantae; Streptophyta; Magnoliopsida; Poales; Poaceae.
UCGAUAAGAGAUGUAGCAGCAGAGAUGCAUGCAAUCCGAGAUGCAUACCUAAUGUUUGGCAAUUAGAUUCCAGGGGAAUACGAGACAACAGAGCUGCUUCGAUCAACAAGCUGGUAGAAAUAACCCUGAAAUAGACAAAAAUAAAAUCCAAACAUGCUGUUUCAGGUUAAAAACUGCUCCAAGAGCUAUGUUUCUUUAUGUAAUGGAGCCGGUAUCAGAUAAUGUACAGCAGAUUUCACCUCAGGUUAUCAGCCUGAAGUUCCAGUUCUGCAAUAGCUACUUGGCUCGUCGCCUGGUACGAAUUCUGAAGGAUCCAUAAACCUGAUGAAAUCUGGCCGUGCGACGACCAUAAGUACACAAGCAGGAUGAAGUCAUUGAAUUCAAGCGAACAGCCGAACAGUAGUCAGUAGACACGAUUCAGAAUCCCACUUGUCAUAGUGCCCACAGCCCACAUGGGAAAACACCGAGGAAAAUGGAGCGAUACUUAUUCCUGAAGUGUAAUAUCACGUUUCCAGUCACUACAGCUGAAUGCUGCGAACUACUACCAACAAGGUUAGCCUUCGACGGCGAGAUCGGCGCCGCAGGACCGGGCAGCCGCAGCGCCCGAGCCCAGGCGGCACGCUCAGCG